CAGAAACCUUGAAAGACAGGAAAGUUGUGGUUUUGUUAUGACUAUUUAGUGAAAAAGGGUGAAAAGAGUGAAUGUGACCUCACUAUCUGGAAUAUCUGUCAUCAGCAGAACUCUAAACACAGAUAAACCCAGUUCUGUAAAAACUGCUUGUAUUUAGCUGCAGAAGCAAGAAUAAAUUACAGACAACCUGAUAAUAUAAUAAAGUAUCAUCAAUUAGGAAAUGAAUAACAAAUGAAUUACAGAAAGCUGCAGACACUAAGAAAAUGUAAGUAAUGGUCAGUGCUCACAAACGAGUGAGUUCACAGUAUAUGGUUUUUGGAUUUCAUGUGGUAGGUGUUUGGUCUGUUAUGUGUUGCAGUUUUGACAGAAAUAUACCCAUGUCUUUCUUACCAUGUUGUCCAAAUAACGACUGAACAGUAGAAUUAAUAUUUUCUAGCAUCAGAUGUCCUGUGUAGUCAGUGAAUAGAAAAAGGGUCUUUGAAUGUGUUACUCCUCUGAAGUACAGCUGUCUCCAAAUAAGAAUAAUAUAUAUAUAUUUUUUCUAUUAAACUAUUAGGAGUUCAGAAACCAUUUUACAGGUAGAGGUGUACAUUUUGUAGGAUGGAUCCCACCCUGAGGGAUGAAUCUCCUUCCAGGUUGUGUUUAUAACUUUGGAAUUGGUAAGAAAAGUAGACUUCAGGAACACUUAGCUGGAAUCAGGGACUCUGGAGUGAUCUGUAAUAUCUUGGGUUUCCCUGGGGAGAAUAAGGCAGAAGAUUCCAGGAGGAAUAUCCAUCAAAGAGACAAAAACGGCAUGUAUCUGUAUCUCAUACUGCUUCAAUUGAUUCAGUACAAGCUGAAAACUCGAAGAGUUGGGUAAAACUCCUCUUCCUCUACAGCUAGUACUUGUCUACCAGAGAUGAGUAUGAUUGAGAGAGCAGCUGUUUGUGUCAUUCUGAACAAAUACUGAAGUGCAAGACCCAGCAAAGGACAUCAUCUGCAAUUCUGGUACUAGACAUAGAAAAAUACCAUAUGAACGUUAUUUUGGAAAAACUUUUCCUGAAAGCUAAAAGAGACAAACUUAUUGAUGCUUAACUUGUCCUACAGAAAUAUUAAACUAGGUUACCAGUAGCACAAAUGUCAAUAGAAGUCUUACAGAAUGAUUGAAUAUAGUACAAAAAGCAGAGAAUGAUGCUUUGCCAUGAAGAAAAAAUAUUCUUCCUUUUGAGUGUGCUGGCAGAAUAUGGUGUUGAGGUAAAGAUAUCAGUAGUAAGGAAGUGACCAAAAUGGUAGAUUGAUUGAAAUAGCAGAAUAACUCAUUUUUUUCCAACCCUGCAUAAAGCAGGGUUAAUGAUAAAGUGCAGACUUUGUGUAUGGGAGACUCAAGUCUAGACGUGCAUAUUAGUAUGGAGAAAUAAUUUAUUUUCUUUUAUUCUGUGAAGAAUGAAAACUAUUAUGUAAGGUGUUUCAAAACUUAUCAUUGAAUGAUUGAAUGGAAUGAAGCUUUCAGCCUUCAUGUAUUAAGUUAAUUCCUUUUGUGGUAUUUCCGGAACAGGAAAAGCAAGUGUUUCAACUUCCAUCUGGACUCAGUUUUGAAAUACAUCAAAGACAUUAACUGGGCCUUGUUGUAGAUGGAUUUAAUAGAAAAGAAGUUUCAUAAUCAUACAAAUAUUCUUUUUCAGAGCAAACGAUUAGCAGUCUAAUAUACCUUAUAUAUCUUAUAGUAAAAUUUAUAUCUGAUUUACUAAGACUCAUUCUAUGAUAUAUUAAAACAUUGGCUAAUAGAUGGAGAGUUCCUGAUUUAUGCAUUGGUGGAUAUACAUAAAUCCCCUGCAUUUUAACUUUCAUUAGAAGCUUUUCCUUGACUGAUAUUAAAGCUGUAUAUAAAGAUGUAAGCUGAACUCUCUUUUUUUUAUCAUUGUGAAUGCCUGUAUAGGAAAAUGGUGUGAAGAAAAUCAAAAAUAAUUUAAUUUAGACAUUUCUAAAAUAAUCUUUCUAUGGGACUUUCUUUCCUCUUUUGGAACUCUUAACAGCCUUUCCAAGAUGAAGUUAAAAACAGUAACCCCCAAAGAUAUACUCUUUUAGUCAUUAUCAUGGGCUGUUCCCUAUAACGUAAACUCAUUGCAAAAUUUUCAUUGACCAAAACGUCUGGAAACAAAAACAAAAACAAAACCAACCAAACAAAAAAACAACCCAAAAGAUUUACUUUUAUCAAACACCUGUGUGCAUCCUCACAACAUUUAUUUACUAUGGCCUCAUGGUAAUUUUGGUACAGGAUGAUUAUUCUUUUUGUUAAUCACUGAAAGUAAACAGAUGAUGUGGAACGCCCCUCUCUCUCCAAUCAACAUGUUAGAGACAUUUUCUAAGAGAAUGCAUGGCUACAAACAGGUCCAAUAAGUCCAUGGUACAACAGUGGAAUAAUUAAAUUGUCUCAUAUUGCCAUUAAAAUAUUUUCUUAACUUGCUUUUCCAGCUGGCUUAGAUUCUGUGUCUUAGUUCCGUUGAAAUCAGAUUCAUCUUGACCCUGAACGCAUUGAUGAGUUCCUGGCCCUUUUGUUAUUACAAAUGGUUGUUUUUUAGAGGAAAAACAGUGGCAAAAAGAGACAUCACAGAAAUAUUAUCUUAACUGUGACAGACCAUGGGAAAUUCACAUUUGGAUGAAACUUUAACCUUUUGCUUUCACUGCAAGGUGGGAGCAUUUCAAUUCUACCGACUUCUGCUAUUUUCACAUUUCUUUAAAAAGCCCCUCUGUGGUCUGUAAUAAAUUCUUUGGGUCUCUAAAAAUAGCCA
This 2768-nucleotide long non-coding RNA is filed under the name Anas platyrhynchos platyrhynchos (common mallard). Its description in RNAcentral is "lncRNA (ENSAPLG00000019271.1)". The record is from RNAcentral. Lineage: Eukaryota; Metazoa; Chordata; Aves; Anseriformes; Anatidae.